UGCCUGGCGGCGAUAGCGCGGUGGUCCCACCUGACCCCAUGCCGAACUCAGAAGUGAAACGCCGUAGCGCCGAUGGUAGUGUGGGGUCUCCCCAUGCGAGAGUAGGGAACUGCCAGGCU
This 119-nucleotide ribosomal RNA is filed under the name Hafnia alvei. Lineage: Bacteria; Pseudomonadati; Pseudomonadota; Gammaproteobacteria; Enterobacterales; Hafniaceae. The record is from RNAcentral.